RNAcentral lists this non-coding RNA (891 nucleotides) under Omobranchus elegans (elegant blenny). RNAcentral's name for it is "partial 12S rRNA". It matches the Rfam family "Bacterial small subunit ribosomal RNA", at positions 307 to 1533 of the family's 1533-position model. The record is from RNAcentral. Lineage: Eukaryota; Metazoa; Chordata; Actinopteri; Blenniiformes; Blenniidae.
ACCCCUGUGAGAAUGCCCAUAACUCCUCCCCCAGGAGUAAGGAGCAGGUAUCAGGCACGCUUUCAAGCAGCCCACGACGCCUUGUUAAGCCACACCCCCAAGGGUACACAGCAGUGAUUAAUAUUAAGCAUAUAAGUGAAAACUUGACUUAGUUAAGGCUAAAAGGGCCGGUAAAACUCGUGCCAGCCACCGCGGUUAUACGAGAGGCCCAAGCUGACAGCCAUCGGCGUAAAAUGUGGUUAAAUUAACUUAAGAUAAUAAAGUCGAAUGCUCUCAUAACUGUUAUACGUACUCGAAAGCCAGAAGCUCCCCUACGAAAGUGACUUUAGAAUUAUUGAACCCACGAAAGCUAAGAUACAAACUGGGAUUAGAUACCCCACUAUGCUUAGCCCUAAACUUUAAUAACUUUACUACAAAAACUAUACGCCAGGGAACUACGAGCAUUAGCUUAAAACCCAAAGGACUUGGCGGUGCUUAAUAACCCCCUAGAGGAGCCUGUUCUAGAACCGAUAACCCUCGUUCAACCUCACCCUUUCUUGUUCAUCCCGCCUAUAUACCGCCGUCGUCAGCUUACCCUGUGAAGGAUCUAAAGUAAGCAUAAUUAGUUUAACCCAAAACGUCAGGUCGAGGUGUAGCAUAUGAAAGGGGAAGAAAUGGGCUACAUUUCCUGUAAACAGGAUAUUACGGAUUGUGUGAUGAAAGACACACUAUGAAGGAGGAUUUAGUAGUAAGAGGGAAGCAGAGUGUCCCACUGAAACCGGCCCUUAAGCGCGCACACACCGCCCGUCAUUCUCCCCAAACCAUUAAAACCCUUUAACUAAACAAAAAUUAGGAUUAAGGGGAGGCAAGUCGUAACAUGGUAAGUGUACCGGAAGGUGUACUUGGAUAAAU